CUAGUCGGAUUUGUUUCCACAGCGCCACGAGGGGAACUCUCCAUAUGCCACGGGUGCAGCCCUAGAAAAGGCAAAAAGACAAAAAAGAGAGAGAGAGAAGUGAUAUCCGCACGUGGGACAGCCUGGCGUGGGUGCUGUUCGGGUGGAAGGUCGGCAGGCAGGAGCCUGUUGGGGGUCCUCUCAGCAAGGAGAGCCAGGUGGACGCCUGGGUCCUGGCUUCACUGUAGGUGCGUUGACCUGCAGUGCUUCCACCCAUCGCUAGACUGGCCAGGAGUGGACUGACCCGACAGCUGGGACCCCGCCACGCACUCGCCUUUCACGCCCCAUCAAAACCACGUGUGGAUGUGCUACUCUGAUCAUUUGAUUUAAUGGACGGGAUUUCUCUCUUUGGACCAUUAAAAGCUGCAGAUUAGUAUUUGUUGGAGACAGAUUCUUAAGUAAAAGAGCCUCGCUCAGUUUGUUGUCUCCAGUGCGUUGGCCUGCUUGGUGGGACUGGGCCUCAGCGAGGCUCUAGCCUCUGGCUCUGGUACGUCCCCCCUGGGACUGAGCCCCUUGCGUGUAGAGGGUUUUGUGUUUUAAAUCCUGAAACAUCACUGGUCUGUGUCCCCAGCUGAGACGCUGAGACCCUUCAAAUCCAGGGUCGGGUUUAAAACCGUGACUCUGUGAUUGCCAUACACAGGCUUCCUGGCUCCGGAACCAUGUGUGUCUUAGGGGCAAGAAUUUGGGGUGUUUUUCCCCGGUCAGGUGAGUCGAUCUUGCUAGUGCUGGCUCUCCUGAUCUUGACCUUGCCUCACCCGGCCGCGGUGUCCGCCUUAUCGAGCACAGGCGGCGUUUUGCGUCAAAGGGCAGGUACCCUCCCUGGCAGCUUCACUAGGCAAAGUGACCCACACCCUCUUUCUUGACAGGGAGUUCUUGAUCCUCCCGGGAUGACCUUUGAAGGUUCUUUCCAACCCUGCUAUUUUAUGGCCUGGUUUCUAAAUCCCCAGUGGAUUAGAGGGACGGAAGGACUUUUAUAGGAUAACAGCCAGAAGAACAAAGUGACUGCAAAAUACACGGAGAACUCGGUCACCCUAGAGAGCUCUGAAGCCCCCAGGCCCACGUUCUUUCUCACACCACACACGGUACUGCAGGCCCCUUUUCCUCCUGGCUCAGCGGAGAUUAGCAAGAGGAGCGAGGGGGAGAUUACUCCCCACGCGAGAGUUUUACUUCACAUGGUUACUUGGGAAAGUCUCGGCACUUGAGGGCUCAUUCCCUCGGGCCCCUGGAGAAGUGAGACGCUCUCAGUGGUCUAGGGUUUACUGCAGUGCGUUUUGCUGAAACGAAUGGCCUGAUGGAAGGGCUUCUUGCGCCGUCUUUCCCUUGAGGAAUUUGCCGAAGUCCUGGUAUUCGUAACUGAAGCGUGAGCAGUAGUAGUUUCACCUUAUCUGGGUGCGAGGCGAAAGGAUCUGGGUUGUGGGACGCAGAUGAGUGAUUUUUCUCUGGUUUUCUCCUUGUUCCCUCUCGCUUCCUGUCCCACCCCAGCAAAAGCUGGCAGGCUGACAGAGGCGGCCUCAGGACGGACCUUCUGGCUAUUGACCAUUUUGCUGGUAAGUCUGUCCUGUCAAGGGGGCUGUGGUUUGAGACCCGGAGUCUCACGGAGCACCCCCGCCCCUCGGGUGGGGCCGGGGGUGGGCUGCGAAGCUGCCCAACCGCUCCCCUGCCGUCUCGCUGCUGCUGUGUUCACAGCAGAGCCGGAGCUGCUCUCCAGCGGCCCUUGGUAGCUCCCGUCAGCACCAGGGGCGCCCGGGUGAACAGACGGACCGCGUACCCACAUGGCCUCAGUAGGAGCGGCCCCACGGCGUCUGCGUCUGGGGCUGGGUCAGGCCGGGAGGGCUUCAGUGGGGCCCUGGGGUGGGACUGCGUCUCCGGGGCCCUGGGCAUCCCGGUACUCUCCGCUGGAGCCUUUGUCUCCUUGGCGACGGCAGCUUUUCAGGGGCAGCUGUCCAGGGAUUUCUCCUCUUCACCACUCGGUGAGAGUUUGGGAAGCCCCUUGGGUCUGAAGGUGCAAGGGAGGGAAUGAGGUGGCACCUGCUGGUGGAGCAGGGUGGACGCUUGGCUGAAGCUCUCACCCGCGCCCGCCCUGGCAGCGCCGGCCGCCUGUGUGCCAUCUCCCUCUCCGCCUCCUCCCUCCGCUGCAGUGGCUCACCCGGACCGUGUGGAGGCGCGAGAUCAACCAUGAGCUCCGUUGCAGUUUUGACCCAAGAGAGCUUUGCUGAGCACCGCAGUGGACUCAUUCCGCAGCAGAUAAGAGUUGCCACUUUAAAUUCAGAAGAGGAGAGCGACCCUCCAACCUACAAGGAUGCCUUCCCCCCGCUCCCCGAGAAAGCAGCUUGCUUGGAAAACCCCCAGGAACCUGCCGGCGCCUGGAGCAACAAAAUCCGGCCCAUCAAGGCGUCCGUCAUCACUCAGGUGUUCCACGUACCCCUGGAGGAGAGGAAGUACAAGGACAUGAACCAGUUUGGAGAAGGUGAACAAGCCAAAAUCUGCCUCGAGAUCAUGCAGAGGACCGGCGCUCACCUGGAGCUGUCCCUCGCCAAAGACCAGGGCCUCUCCAUCAUGGUUUCUGGGAAGCUGGACGCCGUCAUGAAGGCCCGGAAGGACAUUGUCGCUCGGCUGCAGACUCAGGCCUCCGCCACCGUUGCCAUCCCCAAAGAGCACCAUCGCUUUGUCAUCGGCAAAAACGGAGAGAAACUGCAGGACUUGGAGCUCAAAACCGCAACCAAAAUCCAGAUCCCACGCCCCGAUGACGCCAGCAAUCAGAUCAGGAUCACCGGCACCAAAGAGGGCAUCGAGAAGGCUCGCCACGAGGUCCUGCUCAUCUCCGCGGAGCAGGACAAACGUGCGGUGGAGCGGCUCGAGGUGGAGAAGGCCUUCCACCCCUUCAUCGCGGGGCCCUACAACCGGCUGGUCAGCGAGAUCAUGCAGGAGACGGGCACACGCAUCAACAUCCCGCCGCCCAGCGUCAACCGCACCGAGAUCGUCUUCACGGGCGAGAAGGAGCAGCUGGCGCAGGCCGUGGCUCGCAUCCGCAAGAUCUACGAGGAGAAGAAAAAGAAGACCACCACCAUCGCGGUCGAGGUGAAGAAGUCCCAGCACAAGUACGUCAUCGGCCCCAAGGGCAACUCCUUGCAAGAGAUUCUGGAAAGAACCGGCGUUUCUGUGGAGAUCCCACCUUCAGACAGCGCCUCCGAGACUGUGAUCCUUCGAGGCGAGCCCGAGAAGCUGGGGCAGGCGUUGACAGAGGUCUAUGCCAAGGCCAACAGCUUCACGGUCUCCUCCGUCUCGGCUCCUUCCUGGCUUCACCGUUUCAUCAUUGGCAAGAAGGGUCAGAACCUGGCCAAAAUCACCCAGCAGAUGCCCAAGGUUCACGUUGAGUUCACAGAAGGCGAGGACAGGAUCACCCUGGAAGGCCCCACGGAGGACGUCAGCGCGGCCCAGGAGCAGAUCGAAGCCAUGGUCAAGGACUUGGUGAGCCGGAUGGACUACGUGGAGAUCAGCAUCGACCACAAGUUCCACAGACACCUCAUCGGGAAGAGCGGGGCCAACAUAAACAGGAUCAAGGACCAGUACAAGGUGUCGGUGCGCAUACCCCCCGACAGCGAGAGGAGCAGCCUGAUCCGCAUCGAGGGCGACCCGCAGGGCGUGCAGCAGGCCAAGCGCGAGCUGCUGGAGCUCGCCUCCCGCAUGGAGAACGAGCGCACCAAGGAUCUGAUCAUCGAGCAGAGGUUCCAUCGCACCAUCAUCGGGCAGAAGGGGGAGCGGAUCCGAGAGAUUCGGGACAAAUUCCCGGAGGUUAUCAUCAACUUUCCAGACCCAGCCCAGAAAAGCGAUAUUGUUCAACUCAGGGGGCCCAAGAACGAGGUGGAAAAAUGCACGAAAUACAUGCAGAAGAUGGUGGCAGAUCUGGUGGAAAACAGCUAUUCGAUUUCUGUUCCGAUCUUCAAGCAGUUUCACAAGAACAUCAUCGGGAAAGGAGGGGCCAACAUUAAGAAGAUUCGAGAAGAGAGCAACACCAAGAUCGACCUCCCCGCCGAGAACAGCAACUCAGAGACCAUUGUCAUCACAGGCAAGCGAGCCAACUGCGAGGCUGCCCGGAGCCGCAUUCUGUCCAUCCAGAAAGACCUGGCCAACAUCGCCGAGGUGGAGGUCGCCAUCCCUGCCCGGCUGCACAACGCCCUCAUCGGCACCAAGGGCCGGCUCAUCCGCUCCAUCAUGGAGGAGUGCGGCGGCGUCCACAUCCACUUCCCCGUGGAAGGCUCCGGGAGCGACACCGUGGUCAUCAGGGGCCCUUCCUCCGACGUGGAGAAGGCCCGCAAGCAGCUCCUGCACCUGGCGGAGGAGAAGCAAACCAAGAGCUUCACCGUCGACAUCCGAGCCAAGCCGGAAUACCACAAGUUCCUCAUCGGCAAAGGGGGCGGCAAAAUCCGCAAGGUGCGCGACAGCACCGGGGCCCGCAUCAUCUUCCCCGCCGCCGAGGACAAGGACCAGGACCUGAUCACCAUCAUAGGCAGGGAGGACGCCGUCCGGGAGGCCCAGCGGGAGCUGGAGGCCCUGAUCCAGAACCUGGACAACGUGGUUGAGGACUUCAUGCUGGUGGACCCCAGGCACCACCGUCACUUUGUCAUCCGACGAGGCCAGGUCCUGCGGGAGAUCGCGGAGGAGUACGGCGGGGUGAUGGUUAGCUUCCCCCGCUCCGGCACGCAGAGCGACAGAGUCACCCUGAAGGGGGCCAAGGACUGCGUGGAGGCGGCCAAGAAGCGCAUUCAGGAGAUCAUCGAGGACCUGGAAGCCCAGGUGACCAUAGAGUGCGCCAUUCCCCAGAAGUUCCAUCGCUCGGUCAUGGGCCCCAAAGGUUCCAGAAUCCAGCAGAUAACUCGCGACCAUAACGUUCAGAUUAAAUUCCCAGACAGAGAGGAGAACCCAGCGCACGGCACGGAGCCAGCCGUCCAGGAGAACGGCGACGACCCCGGGGAGGGGAGAGACGGGAAGGAGGCCGAGCCCGGCUCCCCCAGGAGAUGCGACAUCAUCACCAUCUCCGGCCGGAAGGAGAAGUGCGAGGCCGCCAAGGAGGCCCUUGAGGCCCUGGUUCCCGUCACCAUUGAGGUGGAGGUGCCCCUUGACCUUCACCGGUACAUCAUCGGCCAGAAGGGGAGCGGGAUCCGCAGGAUGAUGGACGAGUUUGAGGUGAAUAUUCACGUCCCGGCCCCCGAGCUGCAGUCAGGCGUCAUCGCCAUCACGGGCCUGGCUGCCAACCUGGACCGGGCCAAGGCUGGGCUGCUGGAGCGGGUGAAGGAGCUGCAGGCGGAGCAGGAAGACCGGGCUUUGCGGAGCUUCAAGCUGAGCGUCACCGUUGACCCCAAGUACCACCCCAAGAUCAUCGGGCGAAAGGGGGCGGUGAUCACCCAGAUCCGCCUGGAGCACGACGUCAACAUCCAGUUUCCUGAUAAGGACGAUGGGAGCCAGCCGCAGGACCACAUCACCAUCACGGGCUACGAGAAGAACACCGAGGCCGCCCGGGACGCCAUCCUCAAGAUCGUGGGGGAGCUCGAGCAGAUGGUUUCUGAGGACGUGCCGCUCGACCACCGCGUCCACGCCCGCAUCAUCGGUGCCCGCGGCAAAGCCAUCCGCAAGAUCAUGGAUGAGUUCAAGGUGGACAUUCGCUUCCCGCAGAGCGGGGCCCCCGACCCCAACUGCGUCACCGUGACGGGGCUGCCGGAGAACGUGGAGGAAGCCAUCGACCACAUCCUCAACCUGGAGGAGGAAUACGUGAGUCCCGGGGGCACCGUGGGCCGGGGGUGGGGGCGGGCGGGGCAGGGGCCCCCGCGGCAAACUGACGCCCACCCACCCGCCUGCCCACGCCCACAGCUGGCCGACGUGGUGGACACCGAGGCGCUGCAGCUGUACAUGAAGCCCCCGGCCCACGAGGAGGCCAAGGCGCCGUCCAGGGGCUUCGUGGUGCGGGACGCCCCCUGGACCGCCAGCAGCAGCGAGAAGGCUCCCGACAUGAGCAGCUCGGAGGAGUUCCCCAGCUUCGGGGCUCAGGUGGCCCCCAAGACCCUCCCCUGGGGCCCCAAACGAUAAUGCUCGACAAGCAGAAACCUCUCCAGCCUGCUGACCUGAACCCGCCACACGAUGGUCCGUCUCAAUCCGACCCAGCGGCUGGACCCUCCGCAAAUUCUUGACGCCCCUUCCCCGAGGUCUCACAGCGAAGCCGGCGUGGCCCGCGCCCUGGCGGCCGGGUCUCAGGCCUGGCCGCCCCCGGCACAGGCUCUGCUCCCGACCUCUGUGCUGGGGUGGCGGCCGCACGAGCCCCGCGGAGGCCCGCGUCAUCCACCCGGCCUGCCCCGGCUCCGGCCUCCCCGGGAGAGCGCUGCAGCUGCGGCCGCGUCCACUUCCUGUGUCACGACCUCAGGAAAUAAAUGUCCUUGACUUU
This 6472-nucleotide long non-coding RNA is filed under the name Sus scrofa (pig). RNAcentral's name for it is "lncRNA (ENSSSCG00030019258.1)". Lineage: Eukaryota; Metazoa; Chordata; Mammalia; Artiodactyla; Suidae. The record is from RNAcentral.